This 436-nucleotide ribosomal RNA is filed under the name uncultured bacterium. RNAcentral describes it as "bacterial SSU rRNA". It matches the Rfam family "Bacterial small subunit ribosomal RNA", at positions 958 to 1393 of the family's 1533-position model. The record is from RNAcentral.
AACGCGAAGAACCUUACCAGCCCUUGACAUGCCAGGGAGCUUGCUGAGAGGCGAGUGUGCCCGAAAGGGAACCUGGACACAGGUGCUGCAUGGCUGUCGUCAGCUCGUGUCGUGAGAUGUUGGGUUAAGUCCCGCAACGAGCGCAACCCUUGUGAUAGUUGCCAGCACGUAAUGGUGGGAACUCUAGUCAGACUGCCCAGAUCAACUGGGAGGAAGGUGGGGACGACGUCAGGUCAGUAUGGCCCUUACGCCUUGGGCUGCACACGUACUACAAUGCCCAGCACAAUGAGAACCGAGACCGCGAGGUGGAGGAAAUCUGCAAAACUGGGCUCAGUUCGGAUUGGAGGCUGCAACUCGCCUCCAUGAAGUCGGAAUCGCUAGUAAUCGCAGAUCAGCAUUGCUGCGGUGAAUACGUUCCCGGGUCUUGUACACACGC